RNAcentral lists this ribosomal RNA (490 nucleotides) under uncultured bacterium. RNAcentral describes it as "partial 16S ribosomal RNA". It matches the Rfam family "Bacterial small subunit ribosomal RNA", at positions 355 to 863 of the family's 1533-position model. The record is from RNAcentral.
UGGGGAAUAUUGGACAAUGGGGGCAACCCUGAUCCAGCCAUGCCGCGUGAGUGAUGAAGGCCUUCGGGUUGUAAAGCUCUUUUGGCGGGGACGAUGAUGACGGUACCCGCAGAAUAAGCCCCGGCUAACUUCGUGCCAGCAGCCGCGGUAAGACGAAGGGGGCUAGCGUUGUUCGGAAUUACUGGGCGUAAAGCGAGUGUAGGCGGUUGCCGUAGUCAGGUGUGAAAGCCUUGAGCUCAACUCAAGAAAUGCACUUGAUACUGGGUGACUAGAGGACCGGAGAGGAUAGUGGAAUUCCCAGUGUAGUGGUGAAAUACGUAGAGAUUGGGAGGAACACCAGUGGCGAAGGCGGCUAUCUGGNCGGUUACUGACGCUAAGACUCGAAAGCGUGGGGAGCAAACAGGAUUAGAUACCCUGGUAGUCCACGCCGUAAACGAUGGGUGCUAGACGUUGGCGAGCUUGCUCGUCAGUGUCGCAGCUAACGCGUUAA